GUUAAAGUAUAAAAGUAAAUGGUUUCCAAAAAAUAAUUAUCCUGAUUUAAAGGUAAGUAUUGUUUUAAAGCUAUAACUAAGACAUUAAUACAAAUCUGAAGAUAAAUUAACUCCACAUGAAAUGUACUUGUAUCUUUAUUGCACAUUUUAGAACAAACAAAAUAAACCAGCAACUCUGAGUCCUCUCGUCGAUUAAAAAAAAUAUGAUAAAUUCAGAUGGUUUUUUUUAAAACCAG
This 236-nucleotide long non-coding RNA is filed under the name Mytilus galloprovincialis (Mediterranean mussel). The record is from RNAcentral. Lineage: Eukaryota; Metazoa; Mollusca; Bivalvia; Mytilida; Mytilidae.